Molecule: ribosomal RNA, 465 nt
Filed under: uncultured bacterium
Lineage: Bacteria
Description: partial 16S ribosomal RNA
Rfam family: Bacterial small subunit ribosomal RNA
Source: RNAcentral
GACGAACGCUGGCGGCGUGCUUAACACAUGCAAGUCGAACGGAAAGGCCCUGCUUGCAGGGUACUCGAGUGGCGAACGGGUGAGUAACACGUGGGUUAUCUGCCCUGCACUUCGGGAUAAGCCUGGGAAACUGGGUCUAAUACCGGAUAGGAGCCAUUUUUAGUGUGAUGGUUGGAAAGUUUUUUCGGUGUAGGAUGAGCUCGCGGCCUAUCAGCUUGUUGGUGGGGUAAUGGCCUACCAAGGCGGCGACGGGUAGCCGGCCUGAGAGGGUGGACAGCCACAUUGGGACUGAGAUACGGCCCAGACUCCUACGGGAGGCAGCAGUGGGGAAUAUUGCACAAUGGGCGCAAGCCUGAUGCAGCGACGCCGCGUGGGGGAGGACGGCCUUCGGGUUGUAAACUCCUUUCGCUAGGGACGAAGCUUUUUGUGACGGUACCUAGAUAAGAAGCACCGGCUAACUACGUG